CCUACGGGUGGCAGCAGUGAGGAAUAUUGGUCAAUGGGCGCAAGCCUGAACCAGCCAAGUCGCGUGAGGGAUGACGGUCCUAUGGAUUGUAAACCUCUUUUGUCCGGGAGUAAGGCCCGCCACGUGUGGCGGUAAGUAGAGUACCCGAAGAUAAAGCAUCGGCUAAUUCCUGCCCACCAGCCGCGUUAAUACGGAGGCUGCGAGCGUUAUCCGGAUUUUUUGGGUUUAAGGGGGGCUCAGGCGGGCUGUUAAGUCAGCGGUAAAAGCCCGGGGCUCAACCCCGGUCCGCCGUUGAAACUGGCAGUCUCGAGUUGGAGAGAAGUAUGCGGAAUGCGUGGUGUAGCGGUGAAAUGCAUAGAUAUCGCGCAGAACUCCGAUUGCGAAGGCAGCCUGCCGG
Molecule: ribosomal RNA, 397 nt
Filed under: uncultured bacterium
Lineage: Bacteria
Description: partial 16S ribosomal RNA
Rfam family: Bacterial small subunit ribosomal RNA
Source: RNAcentral